CUUUCUGCUGCUGCUUGCGUACGGCUUGUGAUCUCUCUGGAUUCGUGCGGCUGUGUUUUUUCCCUCUUUUCUCGCUUGCAAACUGCUUUCCUUGCUCCGUCGCUCCUGGCCUCCGCUUCCCUCCCUCCUCUUUUUCCUCGCCUCUUCUUCCUUCCCUUCCCCUGUCCUUCUGGGUAACUCCGGGAGGCAAAAAGGGAGGCUGCCCGCUCGCUCGCCCCGCUGGCUCUCUUCCAUCGGCCUCGGUCUUUUAGAUUCCCUGCCUUCGAGCCGAACCGAGAUUUGGAAGGAAAAAAUGCAAGCGAACUCUUUGGGUUUUUGUUUUUGUUUUUUUGGUCAUAAAUCCAGAUGAGAUGAA
Molecule: long non-coding RNA, 355 nt
Organism: Homo sapiens (human)
Lineage: Eukaryota; Metazoa; Chordata; Mammalia; Primates; Hominidae
Source: Ensembl